RNAcentral lists this ribosomal RNA (446 nucleotides) under uncultured bacterium. RNAcentral describes it as "partial 16S ribosomal RNA". It matches the Rfam family "Bacterial small subunit ribosomal RNA", at positions 355 to 793 of the family's 1533-position model. The record is from RNAcentral.
UAGGGAAUCUUCGGCAAUGGACGAAAGUCUGACCGAGCAACGCCGCGUGAGUGAAGAAGGUUUUCGGAUCGUAAAACUCUGUUGGUAGAGAAGAACGUUGGUGAGAGUGGAAAGCUCAUCAAGUGACGGUAACUACCCAGAAAGGGACGGCUAACUACGUGCCAGCAGCCGCGGUAAUACGUAGGUCCCGAGCGUUGUCCGGAUUUAUUGGGCGUAAAGCGAGCGCAGGUGGUUUAUUAAGUCUGGUGUAAAAGGCAGUGGCUCAACCAUUGUAUGCAUUGGAAACUGGUAGACUUGAGUGCAGGAGAGGAGAGUGGAAUUCCAUGUGUAGCGGUGAAAUGCGUAGAUAUAUGGAGGAACACCGGUGGCGAAAGCGGCUCUCUGGCCUGUAACUGACACUGAGGCUCGAAAGCGUGGGGAGCAAACAGGAUUAGAUACCCUGGUAG